RNAcentral lists this ribosomal RNA (858 nucleotides) under Triticum aestivum (bread wheat). RNAcentral's name for it is "partial small subunit ribosomal RNA". The record is from RNAcentral. Lineage: Eukaryota; Viridiplantae; Streptophyta; Magnoliopsida; Poales; Poaceae.
AUGCCACUGCUACAGCUGCCGACCGCGUGUGGCGCCGCUGCGGCGUCGUCGGCGCCGGGCCCCUUCUCGCUCUCGCGGCCGCCGCCCUCGCGGCUGCGCGCGUCGCACGUCCUCUUCGCCUUCCCUCGCCUGAGGAAAUACGGCCGCCGGAACCGCGAGCCGGUACCCACCACCCUCGACGACGACGAGGACGAGGCCGAUGAGGACGACGACGACGACGUGGAGGAGGCGGUUGACGAGGACAUCUUUCUCAAGAACCGGCCCAAGCCGGCCGGGUUCGGCGUGGGGAAGACCUACACCACCGACGUCGAAGAGCAGCUUCUCCGGGAGAUGGGCAUCGGCGGCGCCGGGCGCAAGAGCAAAUCGGCUGCGCCCAAGAACCUCAAAGCCAACGGCUCGGACACAGAAACCGGCGCAGGUGCUAUGGAAGAUUCUGAAGAAAGUAUUGUUGAACAUGAGCCUGAUUUUCUUGAUGAAUUUCCUGUUGUCACAGAUCGCAGUAAUGAUGGCGUUCAUGUUCGUAUUUGGAACCUCCCGAAAAAGAAGAACAUACAUAAGGACCUGAACCUAGCUUUCAAAGGGUUUCCUGGCCUGGUAACUAUAAAUCCAGCAAACUCUGGAACUAAGAAGACCCGUGAUCCUAUUUGUAAGGGCUUUGCAUUUGUCAAACUGGAGUCAGUGGAUGCUGCAACGAGGUUCGUUGAACUGUACUCUCGUAAAGCUGUGUCGUUCGGUAAGGUUGAGAAGCCAAUCAAGUGCUGUAUUGUUGAAGGGCACGUCUCGACGGAUCCUUCAGGUCCAGCAUCCAGUAGUCAGCCACCAGGGUCGAACCCACAACGGUUGGUAGCCGUAAGAUGA